Schistocerca serialis cubense is the source of this 881-nucleotide long non-coding RNA. RefSeq lists it as uncharacterized. The transcript has 4 exons. The record is from RefSeq and is a predicted model, not a curated record. Lineage: Eukaryota; Metazoa; Arthropoda; Insecta; Orthoptera; Acrididae.
CGCGGGACUUCAUUAGAGCUAGAAUUCACGGUCCACCUUUAAUAUUAUCGAAGGUGCUUUCUCUUGCAGAGUACUGGAACUGCCUGUGGAGCCACCGGUGCGAUCUGACGCGCAGAGUUUUGGCUGGAACCCCGAAUCUGUGUUGGCUCGCAGGAUAUUGUAUGGAAUGUUACGGCACGUUCGUACACAACGUACCAGUCGCGAUUGCUCACAAAAUUGCAGAAGACUGGCGAACUAUUUGAACAAAUUUGGGAUCUAUGACAAUAUGAAUAAAAUUGUGAUAUAUGGAGAAGUGGGUGGUGAUUUCGUCACACCCGCGGUACAAAAUCACCAACAACAACCGACUGCCCAGAGGUUACAUCCAGAUGCAGCUUCCUAGCCAGCUCCUUCAGGACCUACAUUGGACAACACCGUGGCAGUUGCCAGCCGCUAGUUGGCGGUUGUUCGGAGCACCCGGCAGAAGAGCUGAUGGAGUUGUCGGAACAGGAAUCCUCCGGCUUCUCCGCCACGAGCAACAAGCGACAAAGUGAGAUCACAGCUCGCCUCACCUGUUGCAGAGUGGAAUCACAGGACAUCAAAUAUUUUCCAGUUCUUCUUCCUGAUUACCAAAGAAGGAAACACUCUUCCUGGCCUCCUUAUUUGAGGCAUUUCUAAAGUGGUGCGCAGAGGAAACAGUACUAAAUGUAUGAGGAUCCAUAAAUUCGACUUCUGAAGAGGAACUGUUUAUGCCUACAGAAUAAUUAUUUAUCUCAACAUGAAUAUCGAUAUUAUCACUUGCAAGUGCAGCCUACGUAUAGCAUAUUUUCCCUCGCCACCGGUGCUGUAGCUCUGCAGAAAUGGAUAGUGAUUCAUGGAAAAAGAGCUUCAUUAAUAAAAAAUAU